Molecule: ribosomal RNA, 488 nt
Filed under: Aspergillus cf. fumigatus MU-30
Lineage: Eukaryota; Fungi; Ascomycota; Eurotiomycetes; Eurotiales; Aspergillaceae
Description: eukaryotic LSU rRNA
Rfam family: Eukaryotic large subunit ribosomal RNA
Source: RNAcentral
AGCUCAAAUUUGAAAGCUGGCCCCUUCGGGGUCCGCGUUGUAAUUUGCAGAGGAUGCUUCGGGUGCAGCCCCCGUCUAAGUGCCCUGGAACGGGCCGUCAUAGAGGGUGAGAAUCCCGUCUGGGACGGGGUGUCUGCGUCCGUGUGAAGCUCCUUCGACGAGUCGAGUUGUUUGGGAAUGCAGCUCUGAAUGGGUGGCAAAUUUCAUCUAAUGCUAAAUACUGACCGGAGACCUAUAGCGCACAAGUAGAGUGAUCGAAAGAUGAAAAGCACUUUGAAAAGAGAGUUAAACAGCACGUGAAAUUGUUGAAAGGGAAGCGUUUGCGACCAGACUCGCCCGCGGGGUUCAGCCGGCAUUCGUGCCGGUGUACUUCCCCGUGGGCGGGCCAGCGUCGGUUUGGGCGGCCGGUCAAAGGCCCUCGGAAUGUAUCACCUCUCGGGGUGUCUUAUAGCCGAGGGUGCAAUGCGGCCUGCCUGGACCGAGGAACG